Molecule: unclassified non-coding RNA, 263 nt
Filed under: Hevea brasiliensis (rubber tree)
Lineage: Eukaryota; Viridiplantae; Streptophyta; Magnoliopsida; Malpighiales; Euphorbiaceae
Source: RNAcentral
AGAUAAGGUCGCUCUCGCUGAUGCAACAGGGCUAGAUCAGAAGCAGAUAAAUAACUGGUUUAUAAAUCAAAGGAAGAGGCAUUGGAAACCAUCGGAGAACAUGCAGUUUGCUGUUGUGGAGAGUAUAUAUGGACCAUUUUUCAUGAAUGACUGAGGACUGGGGGGAUUUUGCUUUAACUUUGGCUCGUUUUUUGUACAUUCUUGGACAAAUUCAAGCUGAUGCUUGCCAAAUCAAGUGCUAAUGCUUAAUUAUCACUUCAAUU